AUUGAACGCUGGCGGCAGGCUUAACACAUGCAAGUCGAGCGAGUGGCGGACGGGUGAGUAAUGUAUGGGGAUCUGCCCGAUAGAGGGGGAUAACUACUGGAAACGGUGGCUAAUACCGCAUACUAUCGGAUGAACCCAGAUGGGAUUAGCUUGUUGGUGGGGUAACGGCUCACCUAGGCGACGAUCCCUAGCUGGUCUGAGAGGAUGACCAGCCACACUGGAACUGAGACACGGCCCAGACUCCUACGGGAGGCAGCAGUGGGGAAUAUUGCACAAUGGGCGCAAGCCUGAUGCAGCCAUGCCGCGUGUAUGAAGAAGGCCUUAGGGUUGUAAAGUACUUUCAGCGGGGAGGCGUUACCCGCAGAAGAAGCACCGGCUAACUCCGUGCCAGCAGCCGCGGUAAUAC
Molecule: ribosomal RNA, 406 nt
Filed under: uncultured bacterium
Lineage: Bacteria
Description: partial 16S ribosomal RNA
Rfam family: Bacterial small subunit ribosomal RNA
Source: RNAcentral